This 9193-nucleotide long non-coding RNA is filed under the name Citrus sinensis (sweet orange). RNAcentral describes it as "long non-coding RNA (CSIN_LNC005373)". Lineage: Eukaryota; Viridiplantae; Streptophyta; Magnoliopsida; Sapindales; Rutaceae. The record is from RNAcentral.
ACUUUGACAAUUUACUAUAAAGCACAGCACGGACUUCCAUUUCAGGUAAUUUUUCCCAAUUUAUUUUAUUUUUUUCACGAAGAACCCAGUUUUAAUUUCCCAUCAAUAUUUGGAGCCUAUCUCAUAACAUUAUAUCUACAGAAUCCAAGAAUAUAUAAGCAUAUUGUUUUCUUUUAUGAUAAUUGACAUUAUAUGGUUUAUUAAUUCGUGAAACAGUUUGGUGAUAUUAAAUAAACAUUUUGCAGACUUCAACUCAUCUAAAUGACAUUUGAAAAAUGAAGUUUAAUUUUGUAACAAUUGUCAUUCCUGUAUGCCCUAUGCAUAUUCCUUUACAAGUAUCUUAAAAUAAUAAAAUCAUAAAGCAUGUCACUUUAAUAAUAUGAAUUUAGACAUGUUGUAAAUCAUGGUGGAUUCCAACAAAAUAAUGCUCUCCUAUUAUCAUCUUAUUGCUCUUCCCAUUAUCCUUUUUAUAAUUAAUAAUUGUGAAUAACUCCACCUUGUAAUGCCUAUAUAAACCCUUUCUUUGUUAAUGAAUGAAGACAAUUUCAAUUCCUCGCUCAAGGCAUUUUGCUUGUUUUCUUCAAUCUUCAUUUGAGUAUUCCUUACUUACAUAUUCCCAAUUAAAUAAUUGCUUACAUACAACCCCUUUAAAUUAUAACAUCCAUUAUCUCCAAAUUUACAACACGUUAUCAGCACGAAGUUCGCUCUGGUACAAGAAGUAUUCUAUCCAUUUACUCUUUUAUUUUCUACGUAUUUAUUUAAAAAAAUUUCCUAUAAGUAAUACUUAUUAUUUACACUCUUUUCAAUAUUUAUUAUACUAAUAUCUUUUUAUUUGUUUGUGAUAAUGUCUCACUUGAAAAAAUUGGAGUUUAACGCUUUGGAUAUAUCAGGCGAGAAUUAUUUAUCCUGGAUCCUAGAUGUCGAAAUUCAUCUUGAUGCUAUGGGGCUUAGUACCACCAUAAAAAAUAAUAAUGACUCAUCCACUCAAGAUCGAGCCAAGGCUAUGAUUUUUCUACGACAUCAUCUUCACCAAGCACUUAAAAUGGAAUAUCUCACUAUAAAGGAUCCAUAUGUUCUGUGGAGCAGUUUGUAUGAAAGAUAUGGUCAUUUAAGGUCAGUCAUUCUUCCCAAUGCUCGUAAUGAAUGGAAUGCCCUCAGGCUACAAGACUUUAAGUCAGUACAUGAAUAUAAUUCUGCACUAUACAGAAUUACUUCACAGUUAAAACUAUGUGGAGAAAAUAUCACUGAUGAGGAUAUGUUGGAAGAAACAUUUACAACAUUUCAUGCUUCCAACAUGGUUUUGCAACAACAAUAUAGUGCUCGUCAGUAUAUAAAAUAUUCUGACUUGAUUGCAUGCCUUCUUGUGGCAGAAAAGAAUAAUGAAUUAUUAAUGAAAAAUCAUCAAGCCCAUCCUACUAGUACAAAACCAAUUUUUGAAGCAAAUGCAGUCUCACAUGAUCGUGAAGACAAUUAUGAAAAUGGGCGUGGCCGUGGGCAUAAUCGUGGCCGUAGACAUAGUUGUGGCCAUGGUCGUGGCUAUUAUCGAGGAAGAGGAUAUAAUAAGAAUCAUUAUUACCAACCUCGUGGUGGAUAUAAAAAUCACAAAAAGGAGAAAAAUGAGAACCAACAUAACACUCAAGAAAACACUUGUGAUAGAUGUGGAAUGUCUAGUCAUUUUUGGAGACAAUGUCGUACUCCCAGACAUCGUGUGGAUAUGUUUCGGGCAUCCCUAAAAUCAAAAGGAAAUAAUAUUGAAACAAACUAUGUUGAUGACUUGGAUCCAGUGGAUGUUACACAUCUUGAUGUUUCAGACUUCUUUGAAGACAAGGAUGGAAAAAUUGAUCACUUGAUUGGUGAUGGAAAUGUUCAUCACAUUUAAAAUUUUAUUUGUGCUUUAUGUUUGUUCAUGUAAUUUUUAUUUUUCGUGUUAUCUAAUAUGUAUUUCCCUUUUUACUUUUGUUUAAGGAUAUGGAUUUCAAUAAAAUGUUUGAUGGAGAAAUAUGAUCUGCUGAUAGUGCAACUACACACACGAUUCUUCGAAACAAGAGGUAUUUUUUAAAUCUAAAUCUAAUUAAGGCAAAUGUGAAUACAAUAUCAGGUCCAGUAGAUCGUAUUGAAGGUACAGGAAGAGCAAUGAUUAUAUUAGCAAAAGGUACAAAAUUGGAUAUUCAUAAUGCUCUGUAUUCACCUAAAUCAAAAAGAAAUUUACUUGGUUUUAAAGACAUUCGUCGUAAUAAUUUUCAUAUAGAAACAAUGGAUAAGAAUAAUGUAGAAUAUCUAUACAUUACUUCUAACAUGUCUAGAAAGAAAGAGAUAUUAGAAAAGCUUCCAGCUGAAAUAUAAGUGUGCAACCCAAGAGGGGGGUGAAUUGGAAUUUUAAAAAUUAUCCUAGCAAAUCCACACAACAAGCAAUCUAAUGUCUUAAUGAAAAUGAAAGCAAUAAGUUCAAUAAAAGCACAAUAACUAAUGAGUAAGGGAGAAGAGAAACAAACACACGAAUUUUUACGUGGUUCGGCAAACCCCGCCUACGUCCACGCCUCCAAGCGAUCCAAGCUUGAGGAUUUCACUAUCCAAGCCUUUCCAAGGCUUCAACCUUUUACAAUUGACUUCAAGGUGUCAUUGAACCUUUACAACAAAGAGAUUAUCUCCCAAUCUCUUCACUCAAGUGUCUCACACACUCAAACUCUUACAAUUAAGAUGAAGAAAUGAAAGUUACAAUGAAACUCACUCAAUGAGUAGAUAUUCAAAAAUGAAGAACAAGAAAUGAUUCAAUGUUUUGUGUUUUGCAAGUUGAAGGAUCAAGAUAUCUCGUGUGCUUUUUGUUUUUGCUUGUUGGAGAGAUUGAAAAUGAGUUGGAUUUGAGUUUAUAUAGUUUGAGCUAAAAAACUAGCCGUUAUACACAUUUUGGUCGUAACCGGAUUGCCGGUUAUGGACAUCUGGUUAUCCGCUUAAUGUUAUUGUUACAGCCACAAUUUUAAAUUUCUGAACAUCCGGUAUGUCGCUUUGUCAAAUCCGGAUUGCCGCUUAUGCUCAGAAGCUUACUGCCCAACAACCGGAUUUCCGUUUGUCAGGAUCCGGUUAGCCGCUUGCUACAGUAACUGCUACAGUGAAAUAUUUUCUAAUUUUACAGUUUGACCCCAAAACUUUAUAAAACUGUAUUAUGGCAUGAAACUUUGCAAAUAGGUCCAAUUUCAGAAUUUCUAAAUAAUACUUUGUCAAUCCCAAAACUUUCUGAAAUUAUGAUUUCACCCAAACUAUGUGAAAUUAUAAAAUGACCCAAAAUAUUUAAAUAGUUUCAACUAGGUCCAAAUCCGAAUGUUAAAACAAUAUCAAAGGUUCUAAAAUACAUUCAUUUUAGUCCAAAACACUUUGAUUCUAUAACAUCAUUUUCUUAUUAUAAAAACACAAUUCAUAAAUCAUUGUUUAAUCAAUACAUGUGGUUUGUUAUCAUCAAAAUCAAUAUNNNNNNNNNNNNNNNNNNNNNNNNNNNNNNNNNNNNNNNNNNNNNNNNNNNNUCUUAUUAUAAAUACAUUCAUUUUAGUCCAAAACACUUUGAUUCUAUAACAUCAUUUUCUUAUUAUAAAAACACAAUUCAUAAAUCAUUGUUUAAUCAAUACAUGUGGUUUGUUAUCAUCAAAAUCAAUAUCUAUAGCUAUAUAAGCUAACACCAGCUUUUUCAUCUGGCUUAUAUUAUACGACGAUAAAAUCAAUGGAAACUUACACAGUCAUAAAAGAUAAGUUAUAUGAUCCAAAAUCUUUUAUACUAUGGCAUGACCGCCUUGGUCACCCUGGAUCAACAAUGAUGCGUAGAAUUAUUGAAAAUUUUCAUGGACAUCCAUUGAAAGAUUUGAAAAUUUAUUGUCAAAUGAGAAUAGUUGUAUUGCUUGUUCACAAGGAAAAUUGGUAGUUAGACCAUCACCCAGUAAAAUUAAUUCUGAAUCUCUAUCAUUUUUACAAAGGAUUCAAGGAGAUAUAUGUGGGCCUAUUCACCUACCAAGUGGACAAUUUCGUUAUUUUAUGGUUUUGAUUGAUGCAUCUGCACGAUGGUCACAUGUUUUUUUAUUAUCUACACGUAACGUUGCAUUUGCAAGAUUGCUUGCGCAGAUAAUCAGGUUACGUGCACAAUUUCCAGAUUAUCCAAUCAAGACCAUACGUCUAGAUAAUGCUGGUGAGUUUACUUCCAAAAUAUUUGAUGAUUACUGCAUGACAGUUGGGAUUGAUGUAGAACACCCAGUACCACAUGUACAUACUCAGAAUGGAUUAGCAGAAUCUCUUAUCAAACGUCUUCAGGUAAUUGCCAAAACUUUAUUAUUACGAAGUCAAUUACCUAUUUCGACAUGGGGACAUGCUAUUUUGCAUGUUACGACAUUAAUCCGCUUGAGGCCUACUGCCUAUCAUAAAUAUUCCCCAUUGUAAUUGGCAUUGGGACAUCAACCAGAUUUAUCCCAUUUACGCAUUUUUGGUUGCACAGUACAAGUGCCGAUUGCGCCCCCACAACGUACUAAAAUGGGACCCCAACGACGAUUGGGAAUUUAUGUGGGAUUUGACUCACCAUCUAUUAUCAUAUAUCUUGAACCAUUGACAGGUGACGUAUUUACAGCACGAUUUACGAAUUGUCAUUUUGAUGAGACAAUUUUUCCUCCAUUAGGAGAAAGAAAAAAGGUCCAUGAGGUUAGGCAUGAUCCUCAAUGGAAAGUGACCCAUCUAUCUCAUUUAGAUCCACGCACAUCUCAGAGUGAAAAUGAAGUGCGAAGGAUGGUUCAUUUGCAGCAAAUUGCAGAACAAUUGCCAGAUGCAUUUACAGAUACGGCAAAAGUAACCAAAUCAUAUAUACCAGCUGCUAAUAUACCCGGCCGAGUCAUUGUAUACAAAGAACAAUUAAUGAAAAGUGUGGCUGAGGAAUUAUCUGUGGCACGCCAGAAGCGUGGUAGACCAAUUGGUUCAAAAGAUAGUGUUCCAAGAAAAAGAAAAAUGAUUAAACAGUGUUCUGCUACAAAUGAUGAUAAAAAUCUAAAAGAACAAAUUGCUUCAGAAAAGAAACCAGUCUUUGAAAAGACCAGAACCCUGACAAUACACAAACUCUUCAUGAGGAACAAAGCCUUGAAAAGGCACAUGAAUCCAGAAAUAGUGAGAUUUCUGUUGAUUAUACUCAUGGUAAAAUUAUCAUCAAUGAUGUGUUUACGUUUAAAGUAGCUACUGACAUUAUAACUGAUCAUGAUCCGUUAACCAUUGAUGAAUGUAGACUGAGGCAUGAUUGGCUUAAAUGGAAAGAAGCAAUCCAGGCAGAGUUGACUUCUUUAGCCAAACGUGAAGUAUUCAGACCUAUAGUCCAAACACCUAAGGAUGUCAAACCUGUUGGGUACAAAUGGGUAUUUGUAAGGAAACGUAAUGAAAAUGAUGAAGUUGUAAGAUAUAAAGCACGACUUGUUGCACAAGGCUUCUCACAGAGACCUGGUAUUGAUUAUAAUAAGACAUACUCUCCAGUAAUGUGUGCAAUUAUGUUUCAAUUUUUAAUUGGUUUGGCUAUAUCAGAAAAUCUUGAUAUGCGUCUCAUGGAUGUAGUGACAGCUUAUGUAUAUGGGUCACUUGACACGGAUAUAUAUAUGAAAAUCCCUGAAGGAUUUAAAAUGCCAGAAUCUUGUCAAUCAUCACAUCGUGGCUUGUAUUCAAUAAAGCUACAAAAGUCUUUAUAUGGAUUAAAACAAUCUGGACGCAUGUGGUAUAAUUGCCUCAGUGAAUACUUGAUAAAAAUAGGAUACGUUAAUGAUCCUAUAUGUCCGUGUGUUUUUAUCAAGCAAUCAAAAUCUGGAAUUGCUAUUGUCGCGGUUUAUGUUGAUGAUUUGAAUUUAAUAAGAACUCCUGAAGAGCUCCAAAAGACCGCUGAAUGUUUGAAAAAUGAAUUUGAGAUGAAAGAUUUAGGGAAAACUAGAUAUUGUCUCGGGCUGCAGAUCGAGCACAGACCUAAUGGUAUCUUUAUCCAUCAAUCAAAUUAUACCGAGAAAAUUUUGAAACGUUUCAACAUGGAUAAAGCUUACCCAUUGAGUACCCCAAUGGUAGUCCGGUCUCUUGAUCCUAAAAAAAAUCCAUUCCGUCCUAAAGAAGAUGAUGAACAGAUACUUGGUCCUGAGGUACCAUAUCUAAAUGCAAUUGGUGCUCUGAUGUAUUUAGCACAAUGUACUAGACCAGACAUAGCAUUUUCUGUUAAUCUGUUAGCUUGAUUUAGCUCUGAACCAACUAGAAGACAUUGGAAUGGUGUCAAACACAUUUUUCGUUAUCUUCAAGGAACAAUUGAUUUAGGCUUAUUUUAUUCUAAUGAACUAACACCAAAUCCAGGUCUCGUUGGUUAUGCUGAUGCAAGAUAUUUAUUUGAUCCCCAUAAAGCUCGUUCACAAACAGGAUAUGUUUUUACUUUCAAUGGUACAACAAUUUCUUGGAAGUCUACAAAACAGACUCUCGUUGCAACAUCCUCCAACCAUUCUGAAAUUCUUGCACUACAUGAAGCCAGUCGAGAAUGCAUAUGGUUGCAAUCUGUAAUCCAUCAUAUUCAAAGUACAUGUAGAAUAUCUUCAAGUUCAGAUAUCCCAACAGUGAUAUAUGAAGAUAAUGCUGCAUGUAUAGCUUAACUUAGAGGAGGAUACAUUAAAGGGGACAGAACAAAACAUAUUCCGCCGAAAUUCUUCUACACCCAUGAGCUCCAACAGAACAAGAAGAUUGAUAUCAAACAGAUACGCUCCACGGAAAAUUUAGAUGAUAUGUUUACAAAAGCUCUACCUACAUCUACAUUUGAAAAAAUCGUAUAUGGCAUCGGCAUGCGUCGUUUUAACAAACUGUUAAAUUAAUGCAUGUUGCCUUCAGGAAGAGCACUCAACAAGAGGAGCGUGAUCUUACAAGAGAAGAAUUAUAGUAAUAUUGGACACAUAUGUACUGUACUCUUUUUUCCUUUUGACCAGGUUUUCCCACUGGGUUUUUACUGGCAAAGGUUUUUAAUGAGGCAGUAUCCAAUGUCAUCAGGGGGAGCACAUCUAAUAAAUAAUUGGUGAAUCCAAGGGGAGUGUUGUAAAUCAUGGCGGAUUCCACCAAAAUAAUGCUCUCCCAUUAUCAUCUUAUUGUUCUUCCCAUUAUCCUUUUUAUAAUUAAUAAUUGUGAAUAACUCCACCUUGUAAUGCCCAUAUAAACCCUUUUUUUGUUAGUGAAUGAAGAUAAUUUCAAUUCCUCGCUCAAGGCAUUUUGUUUGUUUUCUUCAAUCUUCAUUUGAGUAUUCCUUACUUACAUAUUCCCAAUUAAAUAAUUGCUUACAUACAAUCCCUUUAAAUUAUAACAUCCAUUAUCUCCAAAAUUAUAACAAGACACAAUUAUACAGCUAUGUUCAUGUGCAUUAUGGUUGCUCAUGUACCUGCCAUGAAUCAGUGACACAAGAAAUCCAGCUGAACGAAUGGUUUGAAUGUCUUUUUGUGUCAUUUUAUGCAUCCAGCAGGCAUGGAUUUGACCAUCAAAACCAUAAUUAGACUGCAUCCCAGUUGCUGAUAUACCUUUUACAUAUUCCUGUGAGUAACAUAUUUGAGGUCAAGCUAUCGGCAUUUUCCUUGAAAAUAGGUAUAUAUAAAAUAAGAACUUUAAAUAUUGUCAAUGUUGUAACGAGUUAAGGAAACUACAAUGAUUAUCUUAAAAUAAAUAUCCAUUACCAAAAGAAAGCCUAAGACUGUCAGGCACAACUGAAUCACUCAACUGAUAUCGAUUCCAUCGAGGGUGCCAAUGAAAAAGCAAACCUUGAAAAAGAAAAAUCUCGAAAUACUCAACCAAAUACUUGGUUAUCUAACUACAGCCUCUUGACGCUACAUACCAAAAGCCAGAUAGCAAGCAAAACUAAAACUUAAUUUUGUCGACAACGGACCAAAAACUGAAUAAUUGACCAGUUCACUUGACUUAGAUAGCUUUGUCACCCUUGAUUUAUCGGAUGCUCAAUUUUGAACAGACCCAAGCUGAAAAGUCCAGAGAUAUAAAGACUAACAACAUCUUACUCUAAAUUCAAGGGAAGCAGGUUUGUUAAAAUUAUAUGAUCAUCUAGAAAACAAGAGUUCUUACUUGAUAUAAAAUUGCUCUUCUAGUAGAAGAUCCAACAUAUUCUUCAAGAUAUUCCUGCACCCCACGUCACAAAUAGUAAUUAGCCUGAAAGGAAUCUUACCACAAACAGAAUCAUCUUUAUACCAUUCCCAUCCCUUUCAAUAUUAAAAGGGUGAGAAAAACUAGUGGAGAAAGAAUUGUUUUUAGAACAUUGUUUGAAGUUCCAAUUCCUAAGCAAUGACAUCCACAGUUAAAUUUGUUUACAGUACAAGUUUUAUGUAUUAGAUAGUCCUAGCCAUAGUUUUUACAACUUGACCAUGUCCUAAGCCAUGCUUCACUGGCUUCAUGUCUUAGAUUGUCUUAACCUUGUAUUUAUUUUUCUUUUCCCUGAAUGUUAUUACCCAGAAAAUAAAAUCCGUACAAUUAUCAAAAAUUGCAUUAUGAAUGUAUAUGUUCAAUUUCUGCCUCCUUGAUAUUAAUAUGCAUUGCAUGGUAAAUAUACAAAUAUAAGUAUAUAAGCACUAAAUUUUUGAAUAUAUAAUAUUUCAAAAGAAGCAUGUUGUAUAUUUCAUGCAAUGUCAUGAGUUGAUUGCCAUUUGGAGCCCAAUUGAACCUAUUGACCCUAGCCCUUUUCUCUUAUCCAGUUCAAUCAUUGGAUUAAAAUCAUAAUAAGUAAGAGAUCUAUUAAAAGUUUACAAUGAAAAACAUCCGCUGAUUCUAGUUCUGAUUCUGAUUCAGAAGAGUAAAGUGACUAGAAUAUAGCUUUGAGAAACCUCUAUUAGAACUAGAAACCCAAAUACUUAUGUCCAAUUGAAACGCUUGCGUAUUUGUUAUCUUGAAAUUUUUGAACAUUUCUAAUCAUUGAAUAUGAUUUGCCCAAAGCCUCCCUGCCUAUUGUGUUUAAGAGUGCCAGAUAACCGGCUGAUCAUGCCCUAAUGAUUUAAACCAGUUGUUUAAUCAGUAUGCACUGGUCUCUAGGCAGACUACUAGAAUAUCAUUAACUUACAAAAAUCAGAUUUUCCAGUAAUGUAGAAGGCAACUCUAUUUCAACCUAAGAUUCAGCAAGCUGCUAACAAGCUUCAUAAUUUUUUCUUCAUUGAUGACCACUGACACUGGGAAAAAAGAAAAGGAA